UACGUGGGGGUGCAAGCGUUUGUUCGGAAUUACUGGGCGUAAAAGCGCGUGUAGGCGGCGCACUAAGUUCGAUGUGAAAGCCCUGGGCUCAACCCCAGGAACUGCAUUGAAAAACUGGUGUGCUUGAGUCCGGGAGAGGGUCGCGGAAUUCCUGGUGUAGAGGUGAAAUUCGUAGAUAUCAGGAGGAACACCGGUGGCGAAGGCGGCGACCUGGACCGGUACUGACGCUGAGGAGCGAAAGCGUGGGGAGCGAACAGG
This 258-nucleotide ribosomal RNA is filed under the name uncultured bacterium. RNAcentral describes it as "partial 16S ribosomal RNA". It matches the Rfam family "Bacterial small subunit ribosomal RNA", at positions 524 to 776 of the family's 1533-position model. The record is from RNAcentral.